This is a long non-coding RNA of Dioscorea cayenensis subsp. rotundata (Guinea yam), 2006 nucleotides long. RefSeq lists it as uncharacterized. The record is from RefSeq and is a predicted model, not a curated record. The transcript has 4 exons. Lineage: Eukaryota; Viridiplantae; Streptophyta; Magnoliopsida; Dioscoreales; Dioscoreaceae.
CCCUAUUUCAGGUUGAUCUCACCUCUUGGUAUGAAAUCAUACAAUUUCAAAGAGGAAGAUCAGAACCAAUAGAAAGGCGAACGAACCUUGAAUUCCUCCAGAGACUGGUACAUUCCAUCUCUAUGCUUUUGCCUGAGGGUUGCCAAGUCUCCUGGUACAUCUAUGCUUUUCCCCAAAUCAUAAGCCUAAAUAGGAAAGAAGUGAUAGCGCGUUAGCAGUGCUUGGAGUGUUGACAUUUGUAUUGAAUUGCAGACGUCUGAAUCUUAUGUUUUGAAUCAAUUGGAAGAAUCUGUUCGGUCACAGCACUAAGGAGAACUUCAGAGUAUUCAGGCAGCAUAUCGACUUAAUUGAAGGAAUUAUCUGAAGUGGUCUUAAUUGGUUUAAACCAUUCUCAAAGGCAGAGGAAAAAUCAGCCACAUCAUAGGGCUUGGACCGGAUAGGAAUGAUCCACUUUUUGAAGCAUGGGAUGAAGACUCAAUGAUUAUGGCGUGGCUAUGGAACUCAAUCCCAUAAAUCAGCGAUACGUGCAUGUUUUUGUCAACCGCAAAAGAUUUGGGAUGCAAUUCAACAAACCUACUCCAAGGCAAAGGAUGCUGCCCAAGUUUAUGAUGUGAAGGUGAAAACAAUGGCUGCAAAGCAAGGGAACAAGAAUGUUACAGAAUAUACAAAUCAAUUGAAGUUUCUUUGGCAGGAGCUCGAUCACUAUAGGGUGAUUAAAACUAAAUGUCCAGAUGAUGCUGCAAUUCUCAAAGAAUUCAUUGAACAAGACCGGAUCUAAGAUUUUCUUGUAGGACUCAAUCAUGAGUUUGAUCAAGUUAGGAUUCAAAUUCUUGGAAAACCAGAAAUUCCCUGCUUUAAUGAAGUUGUUGCAAUAAUCCGGAGUGAGGAAAGUAGAAGGGGACUAAUGCUUGAUUCCCCGAGUAAUGAUGUCUCGGUCAUGGUGGCAGAUGGUGAUAGCAAUCUCACCAGAGAAGCAAUGAAGAACAAAAAUUCAGAAAAUGGGGAGUCAGGACAAGGACGACCUCAAAACCAUGAUAACUUGUGGUGCAGUUAUUGUAAAAAGUAAUGGCAUACCAGGGAUAGGUGUUGGAAACUCCAUGGCAAGCCACCAAGUCGUGAAUGGGCACCAAGAGAGGAACAAACAAAGGCUAGAAAUGCAAAUGUUGCUGCAAUUCAAGAAACAACAACAUUUCCAUAAGAAUCUAGUGGAUUCAACCAAGAAGACAUUGAAAGAUUGAAGACUCUCAUCAAUAGCCUGGAAAAAUCCUCGGGUACUUGUUCCUUGGUGUCUUCAGGAUGAGGAUUCGGGGAGGAUGAUUGGACUUGCUAAAGAAAGGACGGCCUCUACUACCUUGGCAUAUCAUCCCGAUCGAACAUUAACUGGGGCGGCAGUCUACCUUAUUCUCUAAUAACCAACCGUUCUUCCUCUAACAAAGGAAAAAUUUGGCUUUAUCAUCAUCACCUUGGCCAUCCCUCAUUUAGAGUUUUACAAAUCUUGUUUCCUUUUCAGUUACCAAUUUGAUUAUGUGAAUGAUUAAUUUGCAAGUCUGGUAAAACUGCUUUGAAUUGGGUAUUAAUUUUAUCUCAGGAAGAUACUUUUUUUGGUGCUUUGUAGGUAUUUUUCAUUUUUACAUAUAGCUGUGUUUGUGAUUUUGGCGUCAUUAGCCAUUGUGAUGCUAGAAGUUUUUUUGGUAGUUACUCAAAAUUAGGAUGAUUUUUCUGAUUUGUUGGAAUAAUUUUCUGAUUUGUUUGGAUCCCAUAAAUUGUGGGAUUAAUUUAGGGUUAAUGUGUGUAUAUAUGUGCUGCCCAUUGUACUCCAAUAAUUAAGAAAUCAAUUCCAAUUCUUCUCACACUUUUUGUUAGUUGUGUUUGUGAUUUUGGUGUCAUUGGCCAUUGUGAUGCUAGAAGUCUUUUUUGCUUUUUUGUCUUCUGGCAUGCCUUAAUUUUUAGAGAACAAGAGCCAUAUAGACGCACUGACUAAUCAAAAUUUUCUUGAUGUAUUAAUA